RNAcentral lists this ribosomal RNA (465 nucleotides) under Vreelandella stevensii. RNAcentral's name for it is "partial 16S ribosomal RNA". It matches the Rfam family "Bacterial small subunit ribosomal RNA", at positions 338 to 795 of the family's 1533-position model. The record is from RNAcentral. Lineage: Bacteria; Pseudomonadati; Pseudomonadota; Gammaproteobacteria; Oceanospirillales; Halomonadaceae.
CCUACGGGAGGCUGCAGUGGGGAAUAUUGGACAAUGGGGGGAACCCUGAUCCAGCCAUGCCGCGUGUGUGAAGAAGGCCCUCGGGUUGUAAAGCACUUUCAGUGAGGAAGAACGCCUGGUGGUUAAUACCCAUCAGGAAAGACAUCACUCACAGAAGAAGCACCGGCUAACUCCGUGCCAGCAGCCGCGGUAAUACGGAGGGUGCGAGCGUUAAUCGGAAUUACUGGGCGUAAAGCGCGCGUAGGUGGCUUGAUAAGCCGGUUGUGAAAGCCCCGGGCUCAACCUGGGAACGGCAUCCGGAACUGUCAAGCUAGAGGGCAGGAGAGGAAGGUAGAAUUCCCGGUGUAGCGGUGAAAUGCGUAGAGAUCGGGAGGAAUACCAGUGGCGAAGGCGGCCUUCUGGACUGACACUGACGCUGAGGUGCGAAAGCGUGGGUAGCAAACAGGAUUAGAUACCCCUGUAGUC